AACAAGGCGUACCUGCGGACCUGCGGAAGGAUCAUUAUCGAGUUGCAAAACUCCAACCCUUUGUGAACAUACCUCAGUCGUUGCUUCGGCGGUGGACGGCCUGUUUUUCGGAACGGCCGGAAGCCGCCGGAGGUUCCAAACUCGUAUUUUUUAGUGUAUCUCUGAGCCUGAAAACAAAUAAUCAAAACUUUUAACAAUGGAUCU
RNAcentral lists this unclassified non-coding RNA (204 nucleotides) under soil metagenome. Its description in RNAcentral is "partial contains 5.8S ribosomal RNA, internal transcribed spacer 2, and large subunit ribosomal RNA". The record is from RNAcentral.